This 595-nucleotide ribosomal RNA is filed under the name Clostridium sp. 35S3. RNAcentral's name for it is "bacterial SSU rRNA". It matches the Rfam family "Bacterial small subunit ribosomal RNA", at positions 188 to 800 of the family's 1533-position model. The record is from RNAcentral. Lineage: Bacteria; Bacillati; Bacillota; Clostridia; Eubacteriales; Clostridiaceae.
GCAUGACUUUUAUACCAAAGGAGCAAUCCGCUAUGAGAUGGACCCGCGGCGCAUUAGCUAGUUGGUGAGGUAAAGGCUCACCAAGGCGACGAUGCGUAGCCGACCUGAGAGGGUGAUCGGCCACAUUGGAACUGAGACACGGUCCAGACUCCUACGGGAGGCAGCAGUGGGGAAUAUUGCGCAAUGGGGGAAACCCUGACGCAGCAACGCCGCGUGAAUGAAGAAGGCCUUAGGGUUGUAAAGUUCUGUCAUAUGGGAAGAUAAUGACGGUACCAUAUGAGGAAGCCACGGCUAACUACGUGCCAGCAGCCGCGGUAAUACGUAGGUGGCAAGCGUUGUCCGGAUUUACUGGGCGUAAAGGAUGCGUAGGCGGACAUUUAAGUCAGAUGUGAAAUACCCGAGCUCAACUUGGGUGCUGCAUUUGAAACUGGGUGUCUAGAGUGCAGGAGAGGAAAGCGGAAUUCCUAGUGUAGCGGUGAAAUGCGUAGAGAUUAGGAAGAACACCAGUGGCGAAGGCGGCUUUCUGGACUGUAACUGACGCUGAGGCAUGAAAGCGUGGGGAGCAAACAGGAUUAGAUACCCUGGUAGUCCACGC